CGAGCACCUCGUUCGGUGAGGCGUCGUCACGGACACAGGCCACUGAUCCCACCCGUCGAGAGACGCUCCGGAUCAGGACAGGUCUCCCCGGCCCAAGGGGUGACCCCAAGUGGCUGCCCGCACACAGGGCUACGCCGUGACGUGCCAAAGCUCUGACGAGUAGGGGUGAACC
Molecule: small RNA, 172 nt
Filed under: Streptomyces sp.
Lineage: Bacteria; Bacillati; Actinomycetota; Actinomycetes; Kitasatosporales; Streptomycetaceae
Description: Magnesium sequence
Rfam family: M-box riboswitch aptamer (ykoK leader)
About the family: M-box riboswitch, also know as ykoK leader is described as a metaloregulatory RNA that sense divalent metals and function as a genetic control element of genes related to divalent metal transport in bacteria. It was first reported upstream of the B.subtilis ykoK gene and genes with related functions in other bacteria. Phylogenetic analysis of the distribution of M-box RNAs across bacterial genomes revealed that M-box riboswitches are most often employed for the regulation of Mg2+ transporter genes
Source: RNAcentral